AGAGAAUAGGUUGAACCCGGGAGGCAGAGGUUGCAGUGAGCCAAGAUCGCGCCACUGCACUCCAGCUUGGGUGACAGAG
This 79-nucleotide small nuclear RNA is filed under the name Homo sapiens (human). RNAcentral describes it as "partial ncRNA". Lineage: Eukaryota; Metazoa; Chordata; Mammalia; Primates; Hominidae. The record is from RNAcentral.